UACGGGGGGAGCAAGCGUUGUUCGGAUUUACUGGGCGUAAAGGGCGCGUAGGCGGCGCAACAAGUCACCUGUGAAAUCUCCGGGCUUAACCCGGAGCGGCCAAGUGAUACUGUCGUGCUAGAGUGCGGAAGGGGCUACUGGAAUUCUCGGUGUAGCGGUGAAAUGCGUAGAUAUCGAGAGGAACACCUGCGGCGAAGGCGGGUAGCUGGGCCGACACUGACGCUGAGGCGCGAAAGCCAGGGGAGCGAACGGG
RNAcentral lists this ribosomal RNA (253 nucleotides) under uncultured bacterium. RNAcentral describes it as "partial 16S ribosomal RNA". It matches the Rfam family "Bacterial small subunit ribosomal RNA", at positions 524 to 776 of the family's 1533-position model. The record is from RNAcentral.